AAAAAAAUAAAUAAAUAAAUAAAUCAGUACAAAGCCCAACUAAAUAAUUAUAAUAAAUAAAGACCAUAUAAAAAAAGCGAUUUGUGAUGUAUGUCUAUCCACGUGUAGCCUUCACCAGCUUUCGAAGACAUGCGUCCUUUAGUCUUGAAGCGGCAAUCUUGGCCAUCUCCAACUUUGCCGCCGGGAACUGCCGGGAUGACUCCAAAGUUGCCUCUCUAUCUUUGUCUUCUCUUAGCUUAGAGGUUUUGUACUGAUCAAUGCUCUUUCCACUAAUGAUCGAACUAACUCGCUGAACUCAUCAAACCACCGGAAACAAUCUGAUUCUGGAAAAGCUCUUGUUCAACCUGAGAUUGAUUUUUGCUGGACCACCUGAACGCCGACUUUAUACUAAUCAUACCCCAAAGUGACAGUUACUUCUAAUCCUCCAUACCAGUUCCAAUCAGAAAAACUUUACUUCAAUUUACUAUUGAUUAGAAGUAAAGAUUGAUACUCCUAGGAAGGUCUAUGAUACCAAUGACUUGAGAGUUCGAACACCAAUAAGCCAUAAUUGAGCACAUGUGGAAGAUCUUGAUACAACUUCGAUUUCAAAUUAAAAGCUUUAUUGCUCAUAACAAACCCGAGAAAAGAUAAAAACUUUAAAAUUGCCCAGAUUUGAAUGAGAAAAUAUAAAAAAACUCACUAACGCGAGGAAGAGAUCGCUAAGCAAAGAAGAAAUCCGACAUGCGGAAACAAAAAUCGAUCCAGAGGAUUGAAAAUUUACAAUACAAAACAGAAUCGAAGCCUCCCUUGUG
Molecule: long non-coding RNA, 791 nt
Filed under: Brassica napus (rape)
Lineage: Eukaryota; Viridiplantae; Streptophyta; Magnoliopsida; Brassicales; Brassicaceae
Description: long non-coding RNA (BNAP_LNC015591)
Source: RNAcentral